UGAGUGCGAGCGGCUACGGCCGCGAAGUGGGUGAUGUCAAGCUUCCAAGAAAAGCCCUAUACCCGUUAAGGCAUGAUGGCCUGUACCCGAAACCGACACAGGUGGGGUGGUAGAGAAUACCGAGGGGCGCGAGGUAACUCUCUCUAAGGAACUCGGCAAAAUGGCCCCGUAACUUCGGGAGAAGGGGUGCCACCGCAAGGUGGUCGCAGUGAAGAGGCCCAGGCGACUGUUUACCAAAAACACAGGUCUCCGCUAAGUCGCAAGACGAUGUAUGGGGGCUGACGCCUGCCCAGUGCCGGAAGGUUAAGGAAGCUGGUCAGCGCAAGCGAAGCUAGCGACUGAAGCCCCGGUGAACGGCGGCCGUAACAAUAACGGUCCUAAGGUAGCGAAAUUCCUUGUCGGGUAAGUUCCGACCCGCACGAAAGGCGUAACGAUCUGGGCGCUGUCUCGGAGAGAGGCUCGGCGAAAUAGAAUUGUCUGUGAAGAUGCGGACUACGUGCACCCGGACAGAAAGACCCUAUGAAGCUUUACUGUAGCUUGGUAUUGUGCCCGGGCUCUGAAUGCGCAGGAUAGGUGGGAGGCUUUGAUCCAUGGCUUGCGGGUCAUGGUGAGCCAACGGUGAGAUACCACUCUUUCAGAGCUAGGGUUCUAACGGUCACCCGUCAUCCGGGGACCGGACAGUAUCAGGUGGGCAGUUUGACUGGGGCGGUCGCCUCCUAAAAGGUAACGGAGGCGCGCAAAGGUUUGCUCAGGCUGGUUGGAAAUCAGCCGACGAGUGCAAAAGCAGAAGCAAGCUUGACUGUGAGACCUACAAGUCGAACAGGGACGAAAGUCGGCUUUAGUGAUCCGACGGUUCUGAGUGGAAGGGCCGUCGCUCAACGGAUAAAAGUUACUCUAGGAUAACAGGCUGAUCUCCCCCAAGAGUUCACAUCGACGGGGAGGUUUGGCACCUCGAUGUCGGCUCAUCGCAACCUGGGGCUGAAGUCGGUCCCAAGGGUUGGGCUGUUCGCCCAUUAAAGCGGUACGCGAGCUGGGUUCAGAACGUCGUGAGACAGUUCGGUCCAUAUCCGGUGCACGCGCAGGAACAUUGAGAGGAUUUCUCCCUAGUACGAGAGGACCGGGAGGAACGCACCUCUGGUGUGCCAGUUAUCGUGCCAACGGUAAACGCUGGGUAGCCAUGUGCGGAGUGGAUAACCGCUGAAAGCAUCUAAGUGGGAAGCCCACCUCAAGAUGAGUGUUCCCAUGGCAUAAGCCAGUAAGGUCACGGGAAGAACACCCGUUGAUAGGCUCUACGUGGAAGCCGGGUAACCGGUGAAGCGGAGGAGUACUAAUAGACC
Molecule: ribosomal RNA, 1337 nt
Filed under: metagenome
Description: bacterial LSU rRNA
Rfam family: Bacterial large subunit ribosomal RNA
Source: RNAcentral